RNAcentral lists this ribosomal RNA (401 nucleotides) under uncultured bacterium. RNAcentral's name for it is "partial 16S ribosomal RNA". It matches the Rfam family "Archaeal small subunit ribosomal RNA", at positions 473 to 873 of the family's 1478-position model. The record is from RNAcentral.
ACACCGGCGGCCCGAGUGGUGAUCGUGAUUAUUGGGUCUAAAGGGUCCGUAGCCGGUUUGGUCAGUCCUCCGGGAAAUCUGAUAGCUCAACUAUUAGGCUUUCGGGGGAUACUGCCAGACUUGGAACCGGGAGAGGUAAGAGGUACUACAGGGGUAGGAGUGAAAUCUUGUAAUCCCUGUGGGACCACCGGUGGCGAAGGCGUCUUACCAGAACGGGUUCGACGGUGAGGGACGAAAGCUGGGGGCACGAACCGGAUUAGAUCCCCGGGUAGUCCCAGCCGUAAACGAUGCUCGCUAGGUGUCAGGCAUGGCGCGACCGUGUCUGGUGCCGCAGGGAAGCCGUGAAGCGAGCCACCUGGGAAGUACGGCCGCAAGGCUGAAACUUAAAUGAAUUGGCGGGG